This is a long non-coding RNA of Cyprinus carpio (common carp), 603 nucleotides long. RefSeq lists it as uncharacterized. The transcript is spliced from 4 exons. Lineage: Eukaryota; Metazoa; Chordata; Actinopteri; Cypriniformes; Cyprinidae. The record is from RefSeq and is a predicted model, not a curated record.
ACGCAGUUUUCUACAGGGAUUCAGUGAGAAGAGACUCCUGCAGAAAUAAAUGUGGUUUACUAGUCGUUUAUUGAAAGUGAGUUAAAAUCACCGCAAGCACAUUGUGGUUGUAAACUUUAGCCACUAGCCAUUUUGUGGCUAAAAAUAUGAAUGAUGGAUACAUUGGGCGGACAUAGCCUAUGCUUUUCAGGGUUAAAGUGCCAAAAGUUGAUGUCACGUAACAUCAGUGGAGGAGGAUGAAAACAGGGCAGGAGUGAGAGGUGGCGGAGAGACAAAUUGCCUUCUCACAAGGAAGCACGCGCAGACACAAGCACAUGGAUGCAUGGAUGUGUUUAUAAAGGUUAUGUCAUCAUUUAACAGGAACUCACACACAGACACAAGAUGCAAUGAGUCAACCAGAAUGUGUUCAAGAGAAAGAGCUGAAUCACAGGGAGUCUCAUGAAAAUAAGUCCCACGUAAGCACAACCUUGUUCAACAUACACACACACAGAAUCGAUGCAUGUGGCCUUAUGCUGACAGUAUCUCUAUCAGAAAGCCUAAAAAAAGAAAAUCUUAUGUUGUUUUAAACAUGCAAGCCUAAUCCACAUUUAAACAUUUUCUCAA